CCGACAUACAGAUACACACACACUGACACAGACACUCAUACUCCUGUUAGAUUACCUUUGUCUGCUGGAGGGUGGCUUGCUCUGUGUUGGCUGAGGCUGAUGGGAGUGAGCAUGCAGUAGCAGCUCACUCCAGCCUCUCUUCUCCCUCCAUGCUGCUGUGAGGCUCUGCUGCCUCUUCCCUCCAGUCCUCCUCUGAAGUUCUCUGUAAAGCAGGUAGAAAGUGACAGGCUGACAUCACUUCCUCCCUGCCAGCGGAUAGUCUGCUCUUAGAGGGACACUCCAGGCACCCAGACCACUUCUGCCCAUUGGAGUGGUCUGGGUGCCAACUCCCACUACUCUUAACUAUUGCAAUUUUCAUAAUAG
Pelobates cultripes (western spadefoot toad) is the source of this 363-nucleotide non-coding RNA. Lineage: Eukaryota; Metazoa; Chordata; Amphibia; Anura; Pelobatidae. The record is from the annotation of a GenBank genome assembly.